AUGCUGUGGUCGGCAGUGGUUCUAUGGCACCGCCGCGACCCUGGCCGACCGCCUACUCUUCAGGAAUGGGAUGCUGCCUCUGUAUGUAAGUGUGUCAAGGAAGUUCAUAUCAGAUGCCAGAUUGGAAAUGAUAUACAGGAACUAAACAAGAAACUGGAUACAAUCAUACCGGUAAUACAACAGUUAGGACUAGCUGCAGAAGAUCAAUCAGGAAUAGAUAGUGAAGUUGCUCCUCAUUACAAUGAGUCCAAUACAAUAGGUAGAGGUGUUGGCAGUGACUGCAAUGAUCUUGUUAAUCUGCUACGGAGAGGUGGAGAAGGCGCCCAUGUUCUUUUCGCCAUAGUUGGAACUAUUGGAGUUGGUAAGAGUACUCUUGCACUCAAGAUAUACCAUGAGAUGAGAGGUAGGUUUAGAACCAGGUUAUGGGUAAAUAUCUCCAACGACUCCAGACGCAUCACAAUAUGGUCUGGUGACACAUUUAAGAGAAGGGCAGGAAUGGCGGAGCAACGUGAGGUGUUACGCCGCUAUCUGGAUGGUUCUACCAGCAACCUGCUCUUGGUCAUUGAUAAUGUGCGGAAAGCAGAUGAUUGGAACCAGUUGCUGGCUGCAAAUGAAGCAUUCCGCCGUUGUGGCUGCAAAGUCAUUGUAACAACACGUGACGAGAAUGUCGAAAGGAAGAUGGGGGUGACCCAUUUUCACCGUGUCAAGUGUUUGAAUGGGGACGAUGGCUGGUUGUUGCUCCACAAAACCGCUAAUCUGGGAGGGACUGUAGCCACUGGGAACAUUCAGGAUGUUGGAAGAAGUAUCGUGCAGAAGUGCAGUGGCGUUCCGAUGGCAAUUAGAACAAUUGGAUGGAAUCUAAGGGGCAGGUCCCGGGAAGAUGAAUGGGAGAGCAUACAUUCACAAGAUUUCAUUUCCUCGUAUCCAGGGAUAAGGGACACCAUUGAUACGACGUACAUGGAGUUGAAGUAUCGUGUCAAGCGGUGUUUCCUCUACUGCUCUUUAUACCCGGAGCAAUUUGUGAUCAAGCAGCAGUGUGCCACACAGCAGUGGAUUGCAGAGGGUUUCUUUGAGGGCAGUCCAGAUUUAGAAGAGGCGGCUGAAAGCUGUUACCAGGAAUUAAUAGAGAGGGGUCUUCUUCUGCCUGAGCAUGAAGCUAAUGGUGUGGUGGGAGCAAAGAUGCCUACUCUACUGAGAUCGUUUGCACUCUAUCGGUCAGGCGAAGAGAACUGUGUGGAUAAUCCUAGUCGUAUCAGUAGUACCAGUAAACCAUGGCGCCUAUGCAUCACAGAUGAAGAAGCUAUAGAGGCCAUCCCGGUUUAUGUCACUCGUUUGAGGACACUCUUUGUGUCUGCAAGCCCACUCAGAAGAAGCAGCUUGGACCUUAUCAUUGAAAGGUUUCCGAACCUAAGAGUACUAGACCUUAGAGACACACAAGUUGAGAGCAUUCCCAAAACGCUGGGAAGAUUGCUGCAACUUAGGUAUCUGAAUCUUUCGAAUACUGAAAUAAGAAAACUUCCUCAGAGUAUCGGGAAUCUGAUGAUGCUGCAGUUUCUAAUCCUCCAAAACUGUCCUUACCUCACACAAAUGACCAGUCAUGUUGGCCGUCUGGAAAACUUGAGGGGCCUCGACUUCUCAGGGGCACCAAAGCUAAAUGAUGUCCGUUUCAGACUACUCAAACUGACAGAACUCAACUGCUUGCAUGGUUUUUUUCCAGCUAACCAUGGUUGGACACUUAAAGAAUUACAUGUACUGCGCAACCUUACAAGCCUCCAGAUACUAAGGCUAGGCAGGGCAUCAAGCAUAGAAGAUGCACACCAAUCAAGACUGCAGGAAAUGGAUAAUCUCAGAGAGCUCGAGCUGUGCUGCAGUUCUGUCGACCAACCACCAGUUGACGUUCAAGAGCAUAUGAAAGAUGUGUUCAGCGCACUCAGACCUCCUCAGAGUUUGUUUUCUCUCAAGCUAGAUGGUUACUAUGGCAAUGGAUUUCCAGCUUGGUUUUCUGUUUCUCACCUUACAGCGCUGCAGCGGCUGACGCUUGAUGGCUGUGUCCACUGUCAGCGCCUACCAGCUCUCGGUGAGAUGAUGAAUCUUAAAUUCCUGGCUAUCAUAGGCUUCAGCGUGUUGACUGAGAUCAACUAUGAGCUUCGUGGGGCGCCAGCAACCGGUGUGGCAUUUCCACUGUUGGAGCAGCUAUUCUUAGGGAGGAUGCAGAAUAUGGUGUCAUGGUCUGGUCUUGUGGAUACAGACAUGCCUUUACUCGAGAGAUUACAUCUUGAUGGAUGCCCCAGUAUGAUUUCUGUCCCCUCGUGGCUCCAGCACUGCACAACAUUGAAAAGCUUGAAGAUACACCAUGCUGAUGCGCUUCAAAAUAUCGAGAACCUGCUAGCACUUAAGGAGCUGCAAGUUCACCAUAGUUCCAAUCUGAAGAGGAUAUUUAACCUCCGUAGACUGGAGGAAUUGGAAAUCGUGAACUGUGCACACCUGGAUACUGUGCAGGAUGUUCCUCUGUUGCGCCUCUUGCAUUUGGACGAACCCACAGCCCAGCUUCCAGAAUGGCUCCAGAAGAAACAGUCAUUUACUCUCAGGAGAUUGGAGAUUAUUGGCAGUGAGGACCUACUGGACAGAUGCUCCUCACCCACCGCGCGCUACGGGCGCCUCAUCAAAGAUGCAGCUGAUCAUGUUUAUGCGAAAUUGCAUGGCGGUUCCUUGUACUUUUCGUACACCAAGAGCACUGGCAUGUUCGAUAGAAGCCGACGAUGCAGGGAUCGCUACGGUAUGCAAGGCGCAGCUAUCCUCGCGGUGCCUGUUGCUCCCCGGCGAGUUCAUGGUGGCUGGGAAACAUGGAUCAAGUACACACUUUGUGCCAUCUUCCUCAUUGUUUCCCAGUUCUUUGUUCAGUGGGCUGUUAGCUCUAGGUAG
Molecule: ribosomal RNA, 2922 nt
Filed under: Triticum aestivum (bread wheat)
Lineage: Eukaryota; Viridiplantae; Streptophyta; Magnoliopsida; Poales; Poaceae
Description: partial small subunit ribosomal RNA
Source: RNAcentral